GCUUUAUCGAGAGUGGUGGAGGGAAAGGCCCUGUGAAACCACAGCAACCGGUUCGCGAAAGCGAAUGCCAGGUGCUAAAUCCUGCCGACUGACCAGGCGAAGAUGAGGU
This 109-nucleotide non-coding RNA is filed under the name Geotalea uraniireducens. RNAcentral describes it as "Geobacter uraniireducens SAM-I sequence". It matches the Rfam family "SAM riboswitch aptamer (S box leader)". From Rfam's summary of the family: The SAM riboswitch is found upstream of a number of genes which code for proteins involved in methionine or cysteine biosynthesis in Gram-positive bacteria. The SAM riboswitch acts at the level of transcription termination control. The record is from RNAcentral. RNAcentral also lists the same sequence under 1 other name. Lineage: Bacteria; Pseudomonadati; Thermodesulfobacteriota; Desulfuromonadia; Geobacterales; Geobacteraceae.